GAAUGGAUAGUGCAAUAUAUGCUGUAUAUAUACAUAACAAUCAUGCAACACUUGUUCUCUAACCCUGUAGGGCAAAAUAAAUGAAUAAAUAAAUUGUCCAAGGAUUCCCCAAAAAAAUUUCUUCUUUGGUGGGGGCCAAUUCGACAAGCCUGUGUUUGAGAGAUAAUGAGGUAAUCCUCACUAGAGAUGAUAAGUCUAAGAAGAUAGUGCUGCUAAAGGAGGGUCUAUGAUGAACAUCUUUAUGACUAUAUAACAGAUUCCAAAGCCAAGAUGUUACCUAAGGAUCCAACACAGGUCCUGGAUGCAGCGGUGACUAGGCUGCUUAAGAAUCAGGCCUUUCCUGACUUCCUCAAGGUUAGAAGGAUUCCCAACCUGGCGUCCCCCAGGAUUUUUGCCUAUGUGAAGACACAUAAGACACCAGUAGCAUUUAGACCUAUAGUAGAGAAGAUGAGACCUCCAACAUACAAUCUAGAAAAGAAAGUG
This 483-nucleotide long non-coding RNA is filed under the name Androctonus crassicauda. The record is from RNAcentral. Lineage: Eukaryota; Metazoa; Arthropoda; Arachnida; Scorpiones; Buthidae.